GACUAGGGCAGGGAGUGGAGAAACUAAAAUCAAGUUUGGAACCAGGAAAGUAGCAAGUAUUGAGUCAGCAACAUUGGCAAAGGUUACAGCCUCCGCAACAGAAAGUCAAAAAAUGCCAGUACUUUACAUAAACUCUGCCUCGUAUGUGGAAGAAGCAUGGCCGGAACUGACAUACUUCAGUGCACACUGCUAUGGGAAAUGGAGUGAAUGGAGCAUUAACUAAAAGACAUGGCAUCACUUAGACAAAGUACCUUAUUGGGAGGUCAAGAUGGUGAUAGUUAAAGAGGACAUUUGAUUUUAAUAUGCCUCCUUCUUACAACCUCUCAAUGGUGUCUUGCUAAUUUCUGGCAUCGUGGAAAUUUCACCCAUAAAAGCUUUCAUGUAGAACAAUCUGGUAUGUGCUUGCAGCAUCCUGAAAUUAGUAUUUGAAUUUAUUUUGCAUUCAAUGGAAUUAAACCUUUUUGGAGAUGAUUCCAUGCUUUGGAAUAGAAAAAAAAAAGGCAAGAUGAACUCAGAAUAUCUUCUUGUUGCCAGAAAUCAAAAAUGAUUUUAUACUUUCCUGAGCAGUAUCUUAAAAGACAGGAUUUAGUUAAAUGUGGUUCCCAACAGAUAAGUUGUAAUAAUGUAUGCAUCAAUAAAUGAAUUUUAAUUAUAAUUAAUAAAAUUGAGUUGAACCUAUAAAAAACAUGAGUUUAUGAUUAUAUGAAAAAUGAAAAAUUUCAAACUUUACAAUAUGAAAAUUCAAUACAAAAGCAGAGCAAAUACAUUAAACCGUAAUAAGUAAUUAAUUUAGUGAGUAGGUGGAUACUUAGAUCACUUAAAUACAUACAAUAUUCUUAAAUUAUGAUAUACUUAUUUUUCUAUUUGUUUCAGCAAAAAAGGGUGAUUUCAAGAAACAGUGAGUAAGUCAUAUAGCAUCAACAACAUGCAAUAAAAUUAUAGAUUACCUGUAUAACCACAGAAGAAAGCUGUCUACAUAAAUUCAGUCACUAAUCUCAAGUAUAAAACUUCUGAAUAUCCCUAAUAAUUAUAAAAUAAUAAUAGUCAAUUAAAUUGUUAACUGAGGUGGACCACUCUCUAGCCAAUAUUUUACUGAUAUGGAAGCAAAGAUGAGUCAGCCCCAGAUGCUGAAACAAGGCAUAAACUUGGAAAGUACCAUUUAUCUAGUAAGUAAACUUUUAUUUAAGAAGAAUCCAAGACCAACAAACACUGACUCAGGUUUCAGUCUACUUAGAAGAUGUAAACAGAUCCCUUGACACAACAAAUAAUGAAUAGGUCGAUGAAAUAGAAUCUGCAAUAUCAGCUAGUUUGAGAUUAUAUUCUGUUUGAUCUGGGGAUUGAUAAAAUUAGUGGACAUAAAUGAAUAAAACUGUAACCUCAGGGAUAUAUAAAAUCAUAUUAGUAUAGAGAAAAUAAUGAAACAAACAACCCACAGUAUUGAUAUUUUGAAGCAGGCACUCUAAAAAUUUUUGCAUUAACUAUUAUAUUUUUUGUGGUUUAAGGCAUUUGGAGUAUAUAAAAUAAUUUGAUACAUUAGACUAUGACUUCAUUGAAGUGCUUUGAGAUUUGACUAAUUUUGUGUUCAAUAUCUAAAUAUUUAAGGGCUCAAUUCACACAAUUGAUAUUUAAGUACAUUAAUUAUACUAACAAAGUUAAUACUGCUCACUAGAUGCAUGAUGUAAACAAAGGAUGCACAGAAGGAAAUAUUCUUCUUCCUCUUAGUCUCCUAAGACUCUAUACUGAGGACUCUGUCAGGCCUCUGAGCUGAAGCUAAGCCAUGGCAUCCCCUGUGACCUGCACGUAUAUGCCCAGGUGGCCUGAAGUAACUGAAGAAUCACAAAAGAAGUGAAAAUGGCCUGUUCCUGCCUUAACUGAUGACAUUCCACCAUAAAAGAAGUGAAAAUGGCAGGUCCUUGCCUUAACUGAUGACAUUACCUUGUAAAAUUCCUUUUCCUGGCUCAUCUUGGCUAAAAAAGCUCCCCCACUGAGCACCUUGUGACCCCCACUCCUGCCCACCAGAGAACAACCCCCCUUUGACUGUAAUUUUCCUUUACCUACCCAAAUCCUAUAAAACGGCCCCACCCCAUCUCCCUUCACUGAUUCUCUUUUCGGACUCAGCCCGCCUGCACCCAGGUGAAAUAAACAGCCUUGUUGCUCACACAAAGCCUGUUUGGUGGUCUCUUCACACAGACGCGCGUAAAAUUUGAUGCCAUGACUCGGAUUGGGGGACCUCCCUUGGGAAAUCAAUACCCUGUCCUCCUGCUCUUUGCUCCGUGAGAAAGAUCCACCUACGACCUCAGGUCCUCAGACUGACCAGCCCAAGGAACAUCUCACCAAUUUCAAAUCUGGUAAGCGGCCUGUUUUUACUCUCUUCUCCAACCUCCCUCACUAUCCCUAAACCUCUUUCUCCUUUCAAUCUUGGCGCCACACUUCAAUCUCUCCCUUCUCUUAAUUUCAAUUCCUUUCAUUUUCUGGUAGAGACAAAGGAGACACAUUUUAUCCGUGGACCCAAAACUCCGGCACCAGUCACGGACCCGGAAAGGCAGCCUUCCCUUGGUGUUUAAUCAUUGCGGGGACACCUCUCUGAUUAUUCACCCACGUUCCAUUGGUGUCUGAUCUCCACAGGGAUGCCUGCCUUGAUCAUUCACCCACAUUCCCUUGGUGGCAAGUCAAUUGUGGGGACGCCUGCUUUGGCUGCUCACCUACGUUGCAGCCCAGGGCUGCUCCCCACCCCCUUUUCCAUGUCUCUACCCUUCUCUUUAAACUUGCCUCCUUCAAUAUGGGCAACAUUCCACCCUCCAUUCCUCCUUCUUCUCCCUUAGCCUGUGUUCUUAAGAACUUAAAACCUCUUCAACUCUCCCCUAACCUAAAAUCUAAGCAUCUUAUUUUCUUCUGCAACUCCGCUUGGCCCCAAUACAAACUUGACAAUGGCUCUAAAUGGCCAGAAAACGGCACUUUCAAUUUCUGCAUCCCACAAGAUCUAAAUAAUUCUUGUUGUAAAAUAGGCAAACGGUCUGAGGUGCGUGAUGUCCAGGCAUUCUUUUACACAUCAGUCCCUCCCUAUUCUCUGUUUCCAAUGCAACUCAUCCCAAAUCUUCCUUCUUUCCCUCCCGCCUGUCCCCUCAGUCCCAACCCCAAGUGUUGCUCAGUCUUUCCUCUUUCCAACCUUUUCUACAGACCCAUCUGACCUCUCCCCUACUCCCCAGGCUGCUCCUUGCCAGGCUAAGCUAGGUCCCAAUUCUUCCUCAGCCUCCGCUCCUCUACCCUAUAAUCCUUUUAUCACCUCCCCUCUUCACAUCCCUUCCAGCUUACAGUUUCAUUCUGCAACUAGCCCUCCCCCACCUGCCCAGCAAUUUCCUCCUAAAAAGUGGCUGGAGCUAAAGGCAUAGUCAAGGUUAAUGCUCCUUUUUCUUUAUCCGACUUCUCCCAAAUCAGUUAACGUUUAGGCUCUUUCAUCAAAUAUAAAAACCCAGCUCAGUUCAUGGCUCGUUUGGCAGCAACCCUGAGACGCUUUACAGCCCUAGACCCUAAAAGGUCAAAAGGUCGUCUUAUUCUCAAUAUACAUUUUAUUACCCAAUCCGCUCCCGACAUUAAAUAAAACUCC
Molecule: long non-coding RNA, 3604 nt
Organism: Pan troglodytes (chimpanzee)
Lineage: Eukaryota; Metazoa; Chordata; Mammalia; Primates; Hominidae
Exons: 3
Source: RefSeq, a predicted model, not a curated record